RNAcentral lists this ribosomal RNA (406 nucleotides) under uncultured bacterium. RNAcentral describes it as "bacterial SSU rRNA". It matches the Rfam family "Bacterial small subunit ribosomal RNA", at positions 355 to 776 of the family's 1533-position model. The record is from RNAcentral.
UCGAGAAUUUUCCUCAAUGGACGAAAGUCUGAAGGAGCGACGCCGCGUGCAGGAAGAAGCUCUUCGGGGCGUAAACUGCUUUUAUAAGGGAGCAAAUUUUGAGAGUACCUUAUGAAUAAGGACCUGCUAAACUCGUGCCAGCAGCAGCGGUAAUACGAGUGGUCCGAGCGUUAUCCGGUUUUAUUGGGCGUAAAGGGUCCGCAGGUGGUCAGAUAAGUCUGAUGUUAAAUUAUGGUGCUCAACAUCAUAACUGCAUUGGAUACUGUUUGACUUGAGGCUGGGAGAGGUCUAUAGAAUUGUCGGUGUAGUAGUAAAAUGCGUUAAUAUCGACAAGAAUACCAAAGGCGAAGGCAUUAGACUGGAACAGUCCUGACACUCAGGGACGAAAGCGUGGGGAGCGAAUGGG